GCAUGUGCAGAUGUUGCAUGCACGUGUGCACACGUGUGCAAGUUCUUGUGCACAUGUGCUACUACAUGCAUAUGUGCAGCACAUGUAUCACACGUGCGCAAGUUCUUGUGUACAUGUGCACAUGUAUGCAUUUGUAGUAGUAUGUAUGGAGCAUACCACUACAAAUACGUGCCUUGAUCUGUUUCGGAGCGGCGUGUGGUCGUUUCAAAACAAUCGGAAUGCGUAUUGGUUUUGGCGGAGUUGUCCACGGUGUGCUGUGGUUACUUCAUGAUGACCACGAAGCGAAGUAGUGUUGAGCAUUGGUGUUUGGUUGUAAC
This 317-nucleotide long non-coding RNA is filed under the name Androctonus crassicauda. Lineage: Eukaryota; Metazoa; Arthropoda; Arachnida; Scorpiones; Buthidae. The record is from RNAcentral.